UCUGGUAAUGAUGGCAGAGAGGUCACACCCGUUCCCAUACCGAACACGGAAGUUAAGCUCUCUAGCGCCGAUGGU
Molecule: ribosomal RNA, 75 nt
Filed under: Acinetobacter baumannii
Lineage: Bacteria; Pseudomonadati; Pseudomonadota; Gammaproteobacteria; Moraxellales; Moraxellaceae
Also listed under: 29 other names
Source: RNAcentral